AGCUCCAAUAGCGUAUAUUAAAGUUGUUGUGGUUAAAAAGCUCGUAGUUGGAUUUCGGCGGGCAGUGGGUGGUUUGAAUUGCUUCAAAACUGACUUUUUUACCCGUGUGUUUUGCCAGAAUCUAGCGGGGGCUCUUUUCCGGUUUUUUGUUUGGAACUGGCAGGUUUACUUUGAAAAAAUUAGAGUGCUCAAAGCAAGCUUACUGCUUGAAUAGUUGCGCAUGGAAUAAUAGAAUAGGAAGUCGUUUCUAUUUUGUUGGUUUUCGGAAAUCGACUUAAUGAUUAAUAGGGAUAGUCGGGGGCAUUCAUAUUCAAACGACAGAGGUGAAAUUCUUGGACCGUUUGAAGAUGAACUAAGGCGAAAGCAUUUGCCAAGAAUGUUUUCA
This 385-nucleotide ribosomal RNA is filed under the name marine copepod environmental sample. RNAcentral's name for it is "partial small subunit ribosomal RNA". It matches the Rfam family "Eukaryotic small subunit ribosomal RNA", at positions 587 to 972 of the family's 1831-position model. Lineage: Eukaryota; Metazoa; Arthropoda; Copepoda. The record is from RNAcentral.